Molecule: non-coding RNA, 30 nt
Filed under: Rattus norvegicus (Norway rat)
Lineage: Eukaryota; Metazoa; Chordata; Mammalia; Rodentia; Muridae
Source: RNAcentral
UCCUAGCAUUCUUCUGCUGUGCAUUUGUUC